RNAcentral lists this non-coding RNA (24 nucleotides) under Cricetulus griseus (Chinese hamster). The record is from RNAcentral. Lineage: Eukaryota; Metazoa; Chordata; Mammalia; Rodentia; Cricetidae.
AAAAUGAUAGGAGUGUAGAAAACA